GAGAACAACUGAAAUCGGUAAGCCUCGCGCGUGGUGUGACUAAGUCUGUCUGGUAAGCUUUGAAGUUGUAAUUCUUGCGUUUUCCAGUUUUAUAAGUGCCCCCUCCCCCCACCCUUUCAGAGCUCCUUUUCCUUUGUUGAGAUGUUUCUUUUUAAAAAUAUUUCAACAGAAUUUGUAAAUGACCACUGAUGCACUUUUAUGAUGGGUACUUUAAAAUCCUUCCCAUAUCAUCCCAACAUGUUAGUUGAUUCAUGUUAGUGCUGGCAUAGGUUGUCAUCGCUAAUGCAAUUUGUGGUUUUCCUGGUUCUGGGUUUGAUGAAUGAUUCUCUGCCGCACCCUUCCUAUUUUGGUUUUUGGACGAGAGGACCUUUAAUCCUCCUUAAAUGUCUUAUUUCAGCAUGCUCUCUCCCAGGUUAGCGUGCACUUCUGUCUCCCUUUGUGGGCUUUAGCUCUGACAAUAGCUUGUGUUUUGAGCUCUUGCAGCACCAUCCUGGGCUGCUUUGUUUUUCUGAUACUGCUGUGUCACCUCCUGUCCCCCUUCCUCCCUUCUGUCCCUGCUUUCAUCAUCUGUGACAGCAGAUGGCACAUGUGUCUUUGGCAUUGUCUAGGUGGCCUUUGGGAGAGAAAGGGAAGAAGCCCUAGUCUCUUUACCCCACCGUGAAGACACUGAGCUUGGCUGGUGGCACUGCCUUAGGUCUAUCUGGUUGUAGAGUAGGGUCUGGGACUUGCCAAGCUGCCACUGCUGCUGAGGACAGUGGCCUCAGGUAGUGCCACAGCUAGGGCUGUAGCUGGGGAACAGUUCUAUGUCCUUCCAUGGCUCGGUCCUGGGAACCUGACUAGGGGUGAUGGGAGAAUGAAGAGAGGACAAGGACACACAGACACAGGUACAGAAAACUUGAGGUCGGGUGGGCUGUGCUGAUGGAGAGACAACAGCAUGGAUGCUCAGCAUAUUUAUUACAUACAGCUGAGCAGGGAGCAGGUUUAGUGUAUACAGUAAGCAAGGAGGCAAGAGUUAUACGGAAGAUGAGCAAGGGGGCAUUUGAACAAGGGGUAGGGCUAGUCCAUACAGCUGAACAAGGAGGCAGGGCUAGGUAAUCUCUGUAGGAGCAGUCUCUGCAACAGAACAGCCUUCAGCCCGUAAACAAGUGAAAGAAGAAGGCUGGACCUCCCUACGCUCACCAACGGCAUUCACACUUGGGCCAGAGAAAGGCUUUGCCAUCUCUCUAACCUCACCCAGGGAAGGCUUUGCCAUGGGUCUAGGCAUUGGGGUGAAUAUACAUUCACACGAGACUUAAUCACUCCCAACAGAACAGCUGGUACAAUGAGGGAUUUCACCACUCUGCUGAUGCAAGUCCAUUGUAUAGUACUGUCUGUAGGGCAGCAUGUGCAUUUUGAAGGUGUGUGUGUGUGUGUGUGUGUGUGUGUGUGUGUGUGUUUGUGUGUGUGUGUGUGUGUGUGUGAUAUGUGUGUGCAUGGCUGUGUGUGCACAGAGAUCAGAGGAGGAUGUCAGAUGUCCCUCAAUCAUUCUCAGCCUUAAUCCAUUGAGACAAGGCCUGUCACUGAACCAGGAGCUAAGCAAAUGCCAGCAAGCCCUGCUGGUCCUUAUGCUGUGUUUCUGCCCCGCUAAAGUGCGGGUAUUAUAGGUUCUUGGAUGGCCAUACCUAGCUAUUUACAUGGGUGCUGGGGAUUCAAACCCAGAUCUCCAUGCUGACUCACUGAGACAUUUCCCUGGACCCAACAUACUGAAGUUUGAAGUUUAAAUCUGUUUUUUUGUUGUUGUUGUUGUUUUUUUUUUUUAGCUUUGCUUAUAUGAUUUGGAGUCGAAGACAAAUGUGACUCAAGUGUCCCCCUUUUCAUUCUCUCUCUUUGGGGGAGGGUUGCUCCCCUUUCUUAAUUCUUUUGUUGUAUUUUUCAUGGGGCUUUUAAUUUGCAGAAUCCUCUGUGCAGAUGUGCAGGUGACACCCAGGCCUGCCAUGAGAACCAAGGGCCCCACACAGAGGCAUGCACCUGGCCCUUUCUGCUGUGCAUCUGUGCUCAUAGCCUGCUCUUCACCCCAGUGAUGCUUACUAAAGUUCUGGCCUUUCUCCUCCUUUUAAAGUCAGACGAGGAAUCUGAGUUUUGUUUCUUUUAUUCUUUAUUUUUAUUGGAAUUUUAAAGCAGCCCUUAUUGAGGUCACAUUUGGUUUGUGUUUAUUUCAUUUUUAUGAAAUUUUCCUCCUACUCUCUUGGUAACUAUGCCUUCCUCGUUUUCUUUCUACAAGUGAAAGAAAAAGUCAUCUCUCUUGUUUUCAAUUGUCUUCAUUUUAUAAAACUUCUCGAGACUAUUUUUUUCCCUUGAUGUUUUGUUUUUUGUUUUGGAGUACUCAAGAACUUUGAACAUCCAAUAUUCUAAUUGGCAUUACUUCCAGAGAAUUACUGUUUCACUUUUUUUUUAUUUUAAAGAAAGUAGUUAUUUAUGCCAGGCAUGGUAGUGCCUACCUUUUGUCCCAGCCCUGUCCCAGGCAGAGAUAAGUGGAUCUCUGCAAGUUAAAGGCCAGCCUGAUCUACAGAGUGAGUUCCAGGACAGCCAGGGCUACACAGGAGAAAUCCUGUCUCCAACAAAGAAGGAGAUGGAGUGGGGAGGAAGGGGAUGGCGAGGGGAGGGGAGGGGAGAAGGUUGGGAGGAGGGGAGGAAGAAGAGUGAGGAGGAAGAGGAGAAGGAGGAAAGACGAAGAAAAAUACAAAAACAGACAGACAGAAGUUAUUUGUGAGUUUUGAACUUCUGACUGGUGUUAGAAUUAUCAUAAGUUCCAAGAGGGUAAGGAUGAAACAGGGUGAGGCGAAGCUUUGUAUUAAUUUCUUAGUUACUGCCUCAUGGUAAGGAGAUAAUAUACUCCUACGUUUUUAAAUUCCCUUAGAUGUCCCUAUGGCUGAGUAAAGUGAUUUUGGUAAAUGCUUCAUGCAUAUUUGAAGAGAUGAUCAUCUCAAGGGAUUCACUGUGUUAUACAGACAAUAAAGCAAAGAACUUUCAUUGAAGCUUUGAGACAAGGACUUGUAUGUAAUGGUUGUGUCCUGCUCUUCCACUCUCUGGGCUCUGGAAAGUCUUUCUUGUAGGGGGCUACCCUGCACAUCAUGGAAUGCUUAGCAUCCUUGGCCUCUAACCUACUAGAUGACAGUAACAUCUCUGCCAGUUCUUUCAUCCAGAAAUAAACAGCCCUCUGGGUACAGAAUUAUCCCAACUUGGGAACCAGCGCUGCUCUAAGGUUUUAUAUCUAUGAAUUGAAAUUUAAUCCACAUCAUAAAUAUAUAUCAUACAUUGUGAUUUUGCAAAUAACAGUCUAUAAACAGAACAAAUAUUCAUAAAUAGAAGUCCAAGGAAGUUAAAUGUCAUCUAAGUAUCCUUUGUAGUUAUGAAUAGAACC
RNAcentral lists this long non-coding RNA (3400 nucleotides) under Mus musculus (house mouse). RNAcentral's name for it is "long non-coding RNA chr11:49722887-49726287". Lineage: Eukaryota; Metazoa; Chordata; Mammalia; Rodentia; Muridae. The record is from RNAcentral.